CCCUUCUAAACCAAUUUUACACCGGUUUCCAGCAUAAAAUAUUAGUGUCAGUCUGAUAGGGUUACUAACUCCAUGCUCCCUCCCCAAAACGAUUUGCUUAUUCCUACUGGAAUGCCAGGACAAACCUUAACCACUGCUCAAGGCUUAUUAAAAUCCCCCUUUCCUCACUGAGGUUUUCCCUGCUUCUCUCCAGUCUCUCCUCCUACUAACACUGCAGGCCCUUCUCUAUAUGUCUUUCCUGACUCUCCACAGGGCAUUUCCAGGUGUGUCUCACAUCUUCUAGACCAGACGGACUGGUUCUUCCAGAGGCAGGAGGGUGGAAGUCAUUGAGACCUGGGGUGUGAGGAUCAGACAGAAUUGGGAUCAGGACUACUGUGGCAAAUGAAAUGGGUGCACGGAAAAGGCUUGGUAUGGUGCCUGCUCACGUAGAUUCCAUGCCCAGCAUGGAGUCC
Long non-coding RNA from Lontra canadensis (Northern American river otter), 452 nucleotides. RefSeq lists it as uncharacterized. The record is from RefSeq and is a predicted model, not a curated record. NCBI's taxonomy places the organism in Eukaryota, Metazoa, Chordata, Mammalia, Carnivora, Mustelidae. The transcript has 3 exons.